CCGAGUUUACAACUCCCAAACCCAAUGUGAACGUUACCAAACUGUUGCCUCGGCGGGAUCUCUGCCCCGGGUGCGUCGCAGCCCCGGACCAAGGCGCCCGCCGGAGGACCAACCAAAACUCUUAUUGUAUACCCCCUCGCGGGUUUUUUUAUAAUCUGAGCCUUCUCGGCGCCUCUCGUAGGCGUUUCGAAAAUGAAUCAAAACUUUCAACAACGGAUCUCUUGGUUCUGGCAUCGAUGAAGAACGCAGCGAAAUGCGAUAAGUAAUGUGAAUUGCAGAAUUCAGUGAAUCAUCGAAUCUUUGAACGCACAUUGCGCCCGCCAGUAUUCUGGCGGGCAUGCCUGUCCGAGCGUCAUUUCAACCCUCGAACCCCUCCGGGGGGUCGGCGUUGGGGAUCGGCCCUCCCUUAGCGGGUGGCCGUCUCCGAAAUACAGUGGCGGUCUCGCCGCAGCCUCUCCUGCGCAGUAGUUUGCACACUCGCAUCGGGAGCGCGGCGCGUCCACAGCCGUUAAACACCCAACUUCUGAAAUGUUGACCUCGGAUCAGGUAGGAAUACCCGCUGAACUUAAGCAUAUCAAA
This 579-nucleotide ribosomal RNA is filed under the name Trichoderma harzianum. RNAcentral describes it as "eukaryotic LSU rRNA". The stretch from base 202 to 355 matches the Rfam family "5.8S ribosomal RNA". Lineage: Eukaryota; Fungi; Ascomycota; Sordariomycetes; Hypocreales; Hypocreaceae. The record is from RNAcentral.